CAUGCCCUUCCUGUUGAUGGGGAAGGGUUCUACCAACGGAGCCGUAUCACCAGCCACAAUACCCAUUCUCAGUGAGAAUCGGGGAUGUGUGUGAGCGUGACGCCUUUCUUCCGGGCCAUGUGAGAGAGGAUGAGAAGGCUCCUGUCAGUCCUCCAACCCCACUACCAGGCACUGUGGGAAACUCUGCACCCUCUGUGGCUGGCAUUCCUAUCUGUGGUCCCUUUCCUCCAAUGAGAGCCAUCAGUAUGAAGAAGGAUGCCUUACAGCAACCACUUUAGCCCUUGGAUCUCAGUCUCCCAGACCCCCACUGCUCUCGUUCCGUCCCAGCUCCUUAAGAAGCUGUGCUUUGUGAGCACAAGGGUUAAUGUGCAUCCUGACCCAGGAGCAUCUGGUCCGCUCUGGGCACCUUGCUCCAAGGAGGUGUCCCCAGGCACGUGGAACAUGCCAGAGGGAGCGAGCCAGGGUACUCAAAUCACAAAGACCCCAAGGGGAGGCCCCUCUGCCUCAGUCAGCCCCAUACGAGGCUGUGGAACAUGGGCAAACGGUACAAGCUGAAGGCAUGGCUCCCGAAGCAUUUGCUUUAGGCUACACGACGCCUUCAUCUCAUGGGCUGGGACACCCCAGGACCCCAGAGAUGGACCCGAAGGAAAAGGAUGAUUGAGAGAGCAAGUGAUAUCGGCUGCCAAAUGGCCACGAUGUCCCUAUUGACCCCAUAGCCUGCCCCCUUGUCGCCUUGCCAACCCGUGCAGCCUGUCUCAGAGGACCUCCCGGGGACUGCUCACCUGAAC
Molecule: long non-coding RNA, 788 nt
Organism: Mesocricetus auratus (golden hamster)
Lineage: Eukaryota; Metazoa; Chordata; Mammalia; Rodentia; Cricetidae
Exons: 4
Source: RefSeq, a predicted model, not a curated record